This 23-nucleotide non-coding RNA is filed under the name Rattus norvegicus (Norway rat). Lineage: Eukaryota; Metazoa; Chordata; Mammalia; Rodentia; Muridae. The record is from RNAcentral.
UGAACUAUGAUGGAUGGCCAGUG